UCUACUGUGACCCAAACCAUUUUCCCUUAAAUUUGACAAACUAGGUUAUUCAUGGGGCUUUAAUGAUUUGAGGGGACGGACUGCUGCCUACAGAGUCUAAAAGGCAACAGUAAAAUUCAACACAUCUGUAACUCCAGAUUGUUUCAUAGCAUUUACUGUUAAAUACCAAAGUCCUAAUUGGCGCAUAAAUCGCUUGUUGGGAUGGUAACUGUGCUGGAGACGGGAGAAAGAGAGAGAAAAUGAGUUCCCGUCACAAUAAGACUAAAAGCUAAUAAUCCAGUCACAGCAAUCGGACCUUAUAUGCGGAAAGUCGCUGAAAACUUGAAGGGAUUUUGGGGAUUUAAACGUCCCGCUUACUGGCUCUGAGGAGAGGGAGCUCUGGCUGUGACAACAACAUCGUUUCUGAAACCAAAAGAGGUGAUUAUUUCACACGUUUAUACUCGGAAGUGAAUAAAAAGUCAUUCUAAAUCAGAGGAAGUUUGGUACAGUCGCAAAUUUUAAAUAACAUAAGGCGAAGGAAAUUUCCCUGCAUCCAAAUUAACAGCUUCUCACCAAAUUAAACAAAACAAAAAUCCUCAGUUUUACCUUUUUCACCAAUCCUGGUGUUACUUUCUGACCCACAGCUCACAUUUUAAAUUCCAUAUCAAGCAUAUCUGUAACAUUAUUUUACUUCCAAAACACUGGAAAACUCCAGCCCUCUUCUCUGAUGCUGAAACUACUGUAACACUUCAUCACCCUUCACUGUCCCUCG
Fundulus heteroclitus (mummichog) is the source of this 751-nucleotide long non-coding RNA. RefSeq lists it as uncharacterized. The transcript is spliced from 2 exons. NCBI's taxonomy places the organism in Eukaryota, Metazoa, Chordata, Actinopteri, Cyprinodontiformes, Fundulidae. The record is from RefSeq and is a predicted model, not a curated record.